GGUGACACUAAUGUCCCUUUUAUUUUGAAAUUCACUUUGAAUUGCAAUUCUCAUUUUGGCUCUUGAAAGAAGUGAGGGGAGCAGGGUUAAUCACCAGACAGGAUAAAAUGGUGGUCUUUACACUGGGACUAUUAACUUAUCAAGUCUGUGUUUUGAGGCCUACAUUUAUUUAAAAGGAAAGAAAAAUGUAUAAUCUGUUACUCAGUAUUGAUUACAGAUUGCAUAGAUAUAUAAUUGAUAGUUUUACAUUUCCCACACCCCUUUUCAGUCCCCUUCACUUAUCGGAUGAGAGCGUUGCAUACUUUGUGUUUGUGUCCGGGCCUGCCUUAGCUUUGCACCCUACAAAGGAUAAUGGCCUUUGAUUAAAUAGUGGAGACACUUUGUUUUUGUAAUUAAAGUUUUCAUCAGCAUACUGUGCAUAGAAUUAUGAACGUAAAAUGUAAUUUUACUUGCAACCGGAGAGGCCUAUAAAAUAUUUAAUUUUAUAUUUUGUACUACUGUUUUCAAAUGUCCACACACUGCACAACAUCAAAUUACCCCGAUGGGACAGGUUGAACAGUAUUGUAAACCAUGCACACCGUAUAGUACACACUGAAUUAUUCAAACAAGGCGCUAUAAACAUACGGGCUGGGCCUAGCUUGUGUUAUACCAGAUCUGAUUUUCAGCUUUUACUUGGUUGUCCCCAAUUACAAGACUGAGGCUAAAAUUGGCACGCUGUGAUUAUAGUGUAAGCAGUUAUUUUGUCUCAAUUUUGCCAUUCUGGAUUAAUUUCGGUAAAAUUUUGCAGAUAGCAAUCUUACGGCACUAAAAGUGAAGGUUGUAACUUGCGUCACUCAAAAGACGUUCGUUAGACACUGGUUUUGUACCUCCUGUAGACUAUAGAACAGAGAAAGCUAUUUUCUGCUUCCUUAGCGCAAACUAUUUAGCCCUAGCAAUGCAGUACAGGAUAGGGUAGGAUUGGUUUUUUUUUUCCCCAGUGCCAAUGCCUGCUUUGUGCACAACGUCAAACGUGUAUUUUAUAUAUACAAAAUCAAAUCUGAAAGGACAGAUUGGUACAGACAAGUCAAAACUACCAUAGAAUUUUUUUUUUUCUAAGUAUUUCCCAAAGCAGUCUCCUUCACUUCACAAGUAUCUACUUUUAGCCCACCCUGCGCACAAAAAGCCACGUUUAACUCGAGGACAGUAAAACAUUAGAUGUGCAAACACGAGUGUCAUGCAGUUAUGCGCCAACAGUUGUAUCACAGAUGCAUGAUAUAGGUGUCCUUUAAUGCUAUGAUUCUUCAAAAUUUUACUUCCAUGUCUUUAUCAUACUAAGUGACUCUUUCUGAGCCACUCAGCCGUGUUGUCAGACACCUGUAUAAGAAUCACUGAUUUCAAGAAUCUAAUUUUGGUAGACAAGACUGUAAAUAAAUUGUUAUAGCAGCAGGCUGCUACAUGGAGCCCGUUUGGGUCAUGAGCAAACGGGUCCCACAAAAAUGUAUCUUACCUCACCCAGGCUCAAGAUCACACUGGAGACAUACAGUGGCAUGUUAACAUUAUAUAGGGGAGGGUUAAUUGCACAGUGCCUUAUAUAUUCCUAGGUCAAAAAAUUCAAAGGGCAUAUAUGUUAUUAAACGGCAGGUUAUAAACCUCAUAGCACUUCAUUGGUUAAAGAUAGGAUGUGUUAAAAAAUUCAUAAAGUCCCACAGAGAACAAGAAAUGGUUUAAAUAUACAUUGAAAUUAGGCUUAUAUUUUAAAUUAUGUUGCAACCUUCAAUUAAAUAGACGAAUCUGCUAAAUGUUUAAAUUCCGUCAAGACAGACGGUUUAUUUUUGCAUUUAAAAAAAAAAAAUCUGUAAUUUUCAUGAACGGGUUAAGCUAAUUGCAUUGAGAUGCACUAUACGAAGGGGUGGAAAAAAAAGUAACAUUUCAAGAUGAGAUAUUUAAAAGGUUUUGUGCGAUACAUUUGCCCACGUAAAAAACAACAAACCAGAAAAACAAAGAAUAAGAUUUAAUAGGAUUUUCUAGCACUGGGGUAACAGGACAUUAUAUAACAAAUUAACAUAUUGCGUAUUUUCACGCAUACGAGCAGGUAUGUGCACCUAUGUCUUGAAUCCUGAUAAAUGGUUAGUUUAUAUAGCUAUAGAUUAUAGCUUCGCGUUAAGGCAAGUCAAUAUUCCUUUGACCACAACAUUGUAAAAUAUAUGGGCUGCUGCCACACACUAUAAUAUUAUAUUUUAUAUAUAUUUAUAUUAUAGUGCAACUAACAACUGUAGGAUAUAAAUUUGACUUAAAUUAAGUUUUUCCUUAAUAUAUUUUAAUUUUCUUUGAAAGAAUAUAGUUUUCUUCCAAAGACUUGGACCAAUUUUGUAGGAGAUCAAUGUAAACUGCCCAGUUUGUAUAUCAUGUAUACUAGUUUACACGUGCAAAUAUGAAUUAGUUUAACUAUUUUUGUAUAAAUUCUUGUAAAACUCUAAAUUGUGAUUUUUUUUUUUUCCUGUCAUUUUAGUACUUUUUAGAAUAAUUUUUUUAUCAUUUAUUUUUCAGUGUUUUUGAUUCUCUUGAUUGUUUAAGAAAAGAAA
Molecule: long non-coding RNA, 2561 nt
Organism: Pelobates fuscus (common spadefoot toad)
Lineage: Eukaryota; Metazoa; Chordata; Amphibia; Anura; Pelobatidae
Exons: 2
Source: RefSeq, a predicted model, not a curated record